Molecule: ribosomal RNA, 441 nt
Filed under: uncultured bacterium
Lineage: Bacteria
Description: partial 16S ribosomal RNA
Rfam family: Bacterial small subunit ribosomal RNA
Source: RNAcentral
CCUACGGGGGGCAGCAGUGGGGGAUAUUGCACAAUGGGGGGAACCCUGAUGCAGCGACGCCGCGUGGGUGAAGGAGUGCUUCGGCAUGUAAAGCCCUAUCGGCAGGGAAGAAGCAAGACGGUACCUGACUAAGAAGCCCCGGCUAACUACGUGCCAGCAGCCGCGGUAAUACGUAGGGGGCGAGCGUUAUCCGGAUUCACUGGGUGGAAAGGGAGCGUAGACGGCCAUGCAAGCCAGGGGUGAAAGCCCGGGGCCCAACCCCGGGACUGCCCUUGGAACUGCGUGGCUGGAGCGCGGGAGGAGCAGGCGGAAUGCCUGGUGUAGCGGUGAAAUGCGUAGAUAUCAGGAGGAACACCAGUGGCGAAGGCGGCCUGCUGGGCUUUUACUGACGCUGAGGCUCGAAAGUGUGGGGAGCGAACAGGAUUAGAUACCCUUGUAGUC